AACGCGAAGAACCUUACCUGGGUUCAAUCUCAUUUGCACCACCCGUAAUGGGGUGUACCCGCAAGGGACGGAUGAGACGGUGCUGCAUGGCUGUCGUCAGCUCGUGCCGUGAGGUGUUGGGUUAAGUCCCCUAACGAGCGCAACCCCCGAUGUCGGUUACCAAUCCGGCGUGACUGCCGCGCAGAACGCGGAGGAAGGUGGGGAUGACGUCAAGUCAGCACGGCCCUUACGCCCAGGGCGACACACACGCUACAAUGGCCGGUACAAUGAGUUGCAAGCCCGCGAGGGGGAGCUAAUCUAAAAAGCCGGUCUCAGUUCGGAUAGUAGGCUGCAACCCGCCUACUUGAAGUCGGAGUUGCUAGUAAACGGCGGUCGGCUA
RNAcentral lists this ribosomal RNA (379 nucleotides) under uncultured bacterium. Its description in RNAcentral is "bacterial SSU rRNA". It matches the Rfam family "Bacterial small subunit ribosomal RNA", at positions 958 to 1355 of the family's 1533-position model. The record is from RNAcentral.